AGAACUGCCUAAUGUCCUUUUUUAAAAUUUUUAUUUAUUUUUAUUUUUUUCUUCACAAAAUAGAUUUUUUAUUGUCUUUCACUCAAAAGAAAUAAGAUCUCUAUGAACCAUCAAUCCAUUUACAGAAAUCACCAAGUGGUCAGACCAUGAAAUCAAAGGAGUGGCACCAGAAAUCAAGUCUGUGAACCAAAUACCGGCUAUCAACUCUCCUGUAGAAAAGCUAUCAAGAUUCAAAGACAAAGAUGUAGAUGUAAGGCUCUAUUCAUCUGUCUGUGUAAUACUGAGGGGGAGGAAGGUGGAGAA
This is a long non-coding RNA of Felis catus (domestic cat), 303 nucleotides long. RefSeq lists it as uncharacterized. NCBI's taxonomy places the organism in Eukaryota, Metazoa, Chordata, Mammalia, Carnivora, Felidae. The transcript is spliced from 2 exons. The record is from RefSeq and is a predicted model, not a curated record.